This 253-nucleotide ribosomal RNA is filed under the name uncultured bacterium. RNAcentral describes it as "partial 16S ribosomal RNA". It matches the Rfam family "Bacterial small subunit ribosomal RNA", at positions 524 to 776 of the family's 1533-position model. The record is from RNAcentral.
UACGGAGGGGGCUAGCGUUGUUCGGAAUUACUGGGCGUAAAGCGCACGUAGGCGGCUUUGUAAGUUAGAGGUGAAAGCCCGGAGCUCAACUCCGGAAUUGCCUUUAAGACUGCAUCGCUAGAAUUGUGGAGAGGUGAGUGGAAUUCCGAGUGUAGAGGUGAAAUUCGUAGAUAUUCGGAAGAACACCAGUGGCGAAGGCGACUUACUGGGCACAUAUUGACGCUGAGGUGCGAAAGCGUGGGGAGCAAACAGG